RNAcentral lists this long non-coding RNA (1676 nucleotides) under Triticum aestivum (bread wheat). Its description in RNAcentral is "long non-coding RNA (TAES_LNC010153)". The record is from RNAcentral. Lineage: Eukaryota; Viridiplantae; Streptophyta; Magnoliopsida; Poales; Poaceae.
GCUUUUGUUUUCGGUCUACGAGGGUACGUGAACAACACUCUCCCCUCUUGUUGCUAUGCAUCACCAUGAUCUUGCAUGUGCGUAGCAAAUUUUUGAAAUUACUACGUUCUCCAUCAUGUAGGAGUAACAAAACAAAGAAGAACAUCUAAAGAAAGGAAAUAAGCAGACACCUAUUUCUUCCGAGCAAAUGUACACGCUAUGACACAACAUGAUCAUGCUUAUCAAUUGAACAUCAGGAAGGAAGAAACUACCAUAUGCCAGUGCGGAGGUAAGGGCCAGCACACACGGCGAACGAGGCAUCGAUGGCGACGGCAUUUUCAUCUAGCACGGUGGAAUUGAUCAGUGUGACGACAUCAAAUCCAGAACUCCCAGCCCAUAUGUCUCUCCCCUCGACUGCAAUUGUCACAACAAUAAGUAUAUCAAUCAAUAUCUAUGGACACAGCUGCAUGAGGGAACAACAGAAAAAACACAUCAAUCAGUAUGCUUGUACAGUACACACACCUUCGAUAACAUUAUAUUCUCCUUUCGAUAUUUGAUUUCUACCACAUAAUAAGCACUGUCAUCCAUCCUUCAAAGUCCUGGUUGUUAAUUCUGCAUCAUGUGUGUGGUAAUCUGGAUUCAGCAAACUCUGAAUCCUUUCCUGAUAAUCUCAGUGUUAUCAACUUAUCAUAGAAGAAGAAUUGUUUGAAAAAACCUACCAGAAAAAAGGUUGCCACGGGACAAAUCAAGAAACCUAUUGUCCCAGUUUUAAAUCAAGCAACAGCGAACUCACCUUAUUGAGUACACAACCAGAACCAUCAUCCGUUGCACAUAGAGGAGGAGGACAUCGUAGGCAAAAGGGAGUGUGUUGGCGGCAGACAACGAUGCCUUUGGUUUCUCAUCAGUCUCGUCUAGGCUUCGAUUGCAUAUAAGUAAGCGUUACACGGGGUGGGCCGCUGCUCCAGUAACAAAUUUGUCGAUUUGCCAUUCAUUUAGCCUGACUUAGCUUUUAAUGUGUUCCUAGCUCUCACCCUUAUUAUAUCUCUAACCGGCCACACGAUAACUUUUCUGCUAAAAUUGUUGCAGGUGAAUUUUGGCCUUCCCUUCAUCUUUCACUCUGUCAAGUAAAUCUGAACUUAUCCUAUAUCAAUUUAUGAAUGCAAUAGUAUUAAAUACUAAUGGCAAAUGGGAAAAGUUGUUGAUAUAACUUGUAACAUCUUAAUUUUGGAAGAGAAUGAUUAACCAACUGCAAUUGGAGUUACUUAAGUUCAGUGCUUACUAUACAGUAUGUACUAUCUAUCUAUGUCAGAACACUUCUAAGUUCUUGCAGGAAUGGGAAACUCUCAUUGUAGACUCACUGUUUGGGCAAUAAAGAUCACUUAUGGGUAUUACUAAUCUUAUUAUGCCAAAUGUCAAAUAUUACCAGGCAAACAGAAGUGAUGGCCGCACUGUGAAGAGCACCUUAAAUACCAUCAGCAAAUAUGUACGCGUCAUUGUAAGUAUAUCUUGUACUGUUCACUGCUUGCAGAUCAAAUUAACAGUAAGAAAGUGCAUAAUCUUCCCUUGUCAGAACCUGAAAUCAGAAAAAAGGUACAUACGGGUGAUUCUCACCUUGACGCUGAACGGGGCAAGCAACUGCUUGCAGCAGAAUUGGUGGAGGACCAGCCCUUGUUCAUCGCAACCAGCUUGGCCGGGGG